CACUGAACUAUCGAGUAGUUAUCAACACGCGCCUACCAGGCGUUCACAAUAUCUGCAGACGACACUGGAGGGGGUGGAGCACUAAGCGGUGCAUCAAGGACACAAGCCUUUUGCGAAGCCAUGAGGAUAAUCCUCAUAUUAUGCACCCAGUCUGCAUAGUUACUUCCAUCGUCUUUCAACUUAGCUUUCGCUAGGAACACAAUAAAAUUCAGGGGAGCUACUGCGCGAGCCAUUGAUCUACAACAUAAUUUGCAAAGACAUCUUUAGACUAUGUUCAUGAUAAUGAGUUUAAUUAAUCAUAUUACUAAAGAACUCCCACUCAAAUCAACAUCCCUCAGGUUGUCUAAGUGUGACAUCAUCCAAAUCCACCAACCCAAGUCUGAUCAUCACGUGAGAUGAGGUGGUUUCAAUGGUGACCAUCUCCAUGUUGAUCAUAUCUACUAUAUGACUCAUGUUUGACCUUUUGGUCUCCUGUGUUCCAAGGCCAUGUCUAUACAUGCUAGGAUCGUCAAGUUUAACCCAAUUAUUUUGCAUGUGCAAAACUGGCUUACACCCGUUGUAUGUGAACGAAGAGUCCAUCACACCCGUUCAUCACGAGGUGCUUCAAAACGACGAACUUUCACAACGGUGCAUACUUGGGGAGAACACAAUUUUACCUUGAAAUUUUAGUGAGGAAUCAUUUUAUAGUGCUACCGCCGUCCUAAGCAAAAAAAUAUGCAUAAAAGAUAAACAUCACAUGCAAAUCAUAUAAGUGACAUGAUAUGUCCAUCAUCAUCUUGUGCUUUUGAUCUCCAUCUCCAAAGCACCGGCAUGAUCUUCAUCGUCACUGGCAUGACACCAUGAUCUCCAUCAUUGUGUCGUCAUGUGGUUGUCACACCAACUAUUGCUUCUACAACUAUGGCUAACUCAUAGCG
RNAcentral lists this long non-coding RNA (914 nucleotides) under Hordeum vulgare. RNAcentral describes it as "long non-coding RNA (HVUL_LNC021091)". Lineage: Eukaryota; Viridiplantae; Streptophyta; Magnoliopsida; Poales; Poaceae. The record is from RNAcentral.